Molecule: ribosomal RNA, 201 nt
Filed under: uncultured bacterium
Lineage: Bacteria
Description: partial 16S ribosomal RNA
Rfam family: Bacterial small subunit ribosomal RNA
Source: RNAcentral
UACGUAGGGGCAAGCGUUGUCCGGAAUCAUUGGCGUAAAGAGCGCGUAGGCGGCCUGUAAGUCCGCUGUGAAAGUCAAGGGCUCAACCCUUGAAUGCCGGUGGAUACUGCAGGCUAGAGUCCGGAAGAGGCGAGUGGAAUUCCUGGUGUAGCGGUGAAAUGCGCAGAUAUCAAGGAGGAACACCAGUGGCGAAAGCGGCUU